GGUCUGGAUUCUGGCUCAGAUUGAACGCUGGCGGAUGCUUUACACAUGCAAAGUCGAACGGGCAGCACGGACUUCGUCUGGUGGCGAGUGGCGAACGGGAGAGUAAUGUAUCGUGGAACGUGCCUAGUAGCGGGGAUAACUACGCGAAAGCGAAGCUAAUACCGCAUAUUAGCUCUUCGGGGAAAGUUGGGACCUUCGGGCCUCGCAGAAUUAUUAGGAGCGGCCGAUAUCGGAUUAGCUAGUUUGCGGGGUAACGGUCACCGGCGACGAUCCGUAGCUGGUUUGAGGACGACCAGCCACACUGGGACUGAGACACACGGCCCAGACUCCAUGGAGGUAGCAGCAGGUAAUUCUUGGACGAAUGGGGAAUCGGAUCUGCUAUCCCGGGCGUGUGCGAUGAAGGCCUCGGGUUGUGAAAGCACUUUGGCAGGAAGAAACGGCACGGAUAAUACCGUGCAAUCCGAUUUAAAAUUCUUGCAGAAUAAGCACUGGCUAACUACGUGCCAGCAGGCCGCGGUAAUACGUAGGGUGCAAAGAAGACUGAAUUAUUAAGUGUAAGCAAUAGCAGAGGAGUUCGGAAAGAAAGAUGAAAUCCCAGAGCUUAACUUUGAACUGUACGAAUUAAUGAGCGUAUAGAGUGUGUCAGAGGAGGUGGAAUUCCGCGUAGCAGUGAAUGCGCAGAUAAGCGUGGAGGAACACCGAUGGCGAAGGCAGCCUCCUGAUAACACUGACGCUCAUGCACGAAAGCGUGGGGGAGCAAACAGAUUAGAUACCCUGGUAGUCUACGCCCUAAACGAUGUCAACUAGCUUUCGUUGGGGCCUUCGGGCCCGGUAGCGCAGCUAACGCGUGAAGUUGACCGCCUGGGGAGUACGGUCGCAAGAUUAAAACCCAAAGGAAUUGACGGGGACCCCGCACAAGCGGUGGAUGAUGUGGAUUAAUUCGAUGCAACGCGAAAACCUUUACCUACCCUUGACAUGUUCGGGAAUCCCGAAGAGAUUUGGGAGAGUGCUCGCAAGAGAACCGGAACACAGGUGCUGCAUGGCUGUCGUCAGCUCGUGUCGUGAGAUGUUGGGUUAAGUCCCCGCAACGAGCGCAACCCCUUUGCUGGCUAUUGUUACGAAAGGCACUCUAUCGAGACUGCCGGUGACAACCGAGGAAGGUGGGGAUGACGUCAAGUCCUCAUGGCCCUUUAUGGGUAGGGCUUCACACGUCAUACAAUGGUCGGGACAGGUCGCCAACCCGCGAGGGGGAGCCAAUCCCAGAAACCCGGAUCGUAGUCCGGAUCGCAGUCUGCAACUCGACUGCGUGAAGCCCGGAAUCGCUAGUAAUCGCGGAUCAGCAUGUCGCGGUGAAUACGUUCCCGGGUCUUGUACACACCGCCCGUCACACCAUGGGAGUGGGUUUUACCAGAAGUAGUUAGCCUAACCGUAAGGAGGGCGAUUACCACGGUAGGAUUCAUGACUGGGGUGAAGUCGUAAUAAGGUAACUC
RNAcentral lists this ribosomal RNA (1490 nucleotides) under uncultured Bordetella sp. RNAcentral describes it as "partial 16S-23S ribosomal RNA intergenic spacer". It matches the Rfam family "Bacterial small subunit ribosomal RNA". The record is from RNAcentral. Lineage: Bacteria; Pseudomonadati; Pseudomonadota; Betaproteobacteria; Burkholderiales; Alcaligenaceae.